Molecule: ribosomal RNA, 741 nt
Filed under: Cetrelia japonica
Lineage: Eukaryota; Fungi; Ascomycota; Lecanoromycetes; Lecanorales; Parmeliaceae
Description: eukaryotic LSU rRNA
Rfam family: Eukaryotic large subunit ribosomal RNA
Source: RNAcentral
CAUGGCGUCAUAGAGGGUGAGAAUCCCGUAUGUGACUGUGGCUCGAGCCCAUGUGAAGCCUCUUCGACGAGUCGAGUUGUUUGGGAAUGCAGCUCAAAAUGGGUGGUAAAUUUCAUCUAAAGCUAAAUACUGGCUGGAGACCGAUAGCGCACAAGUAGAGUGAUCGAAAGAUGAAAAGCACUUUGGAAAGAGAGUCAAACAGUACGUGAAAUUGUUGAAAGGGAAGCGCUUGCAACCAGACCUGCCCGUGGGCGAUCAGCCGCUGUUCUCAGCGGUGCACUCGCUCCACGAUCAGGCCAGCAUCGGUUUCGGCGGUCGGAUAAAGGCCUUGGGAAUGUAGCUUCCUUUCGGGGGAGUCUUAUAGCCCUCGGUGCAAUGCGGCCAGCCGGGACCGAGGACCGCGCUUCGGCUAGGAUGCUGGCGUAAUGGUUGUCAGCGACCCGUCUUGAAACACGGACCAAGGAGUCUAACAUCUAUGCGAGUGUUUGGGUGUCAAACCCAUACGCGGAAUGAAAGUGAACGGAGGUGAGAACCCUUAAGGGCGCAUCAUCGACCGAUCCAGAUGUCUUCGGAUGGAUUUGAGUAUGAGCAUAGCUGUUGGGACCCGAAAGGUGAGCAAAACCCUGUACAGCUCUUACGGGGGCCUCGAAGCUAAUUUGGUCGCAGAUGGUGAACUAUGCCUGAAUAGGGUGAAGCCAGAGGAAACUCUGGUGGAGGCUCGCAGCGGUUCUGACGUGCAAA